CCUACGGGGGGCUGCAGUGGGGAAUCUUCCGCAAUGGACGAAAGUCUGACGGAGCAACGCCGCGUGAGUGAUGACGGCCUUCGGGUUGUAAAGCUCUGUUAAUCGGGACGAAAGGUCUUCUUGCGAAUAGUUAGAAGAAUUGACGGUACCGGAAUAGAAAGCCACGGCUAACUACGUGCCAGCAGCCGCGGUAAUACGUAGGUGGCAAGCGUUGUCCGGAAUUAUUGGGCGUAAAGCGCGCGCAGGCGGAUUGGUCAGUCUGUCUUAAAAGUUCGGGGCUUAACCCCGUGAUGGGAUGGAAACUGCCAAUCUAGAGUAUCGGAGAGGAGAGUGGAAUUCCUAGUGUAGCGGUGAAAUGCGUAGAUAUUAGGAAGAACACCAGUGGCGAAGGCGACUUUCUGGACGAAAACUGACGCUGAGGCGCGAAAGCCAGGGGAGCAAACGGGAUUAGAUACCCUAGUAGUC
This 465-nucleotide ribosomal RNA is filed under the name uncultured Veillonella sp. RNAcentral describes it as "bacterial SSU rRNA". It matches the Rfam family "Bacterial small subunit ribosomal RNA", at positions 338 to 795 of the family's 1533-position model. The record is from RNAcentral. Lineage: Bacteria; Bacillati; Bacillota; Negativicutes; Veillonellales; Veillonellaceae.